RNAcentral lists this transfer RNA (72 nucleotides) under Toxocara canis (dog roundworm). It matches the Rfam family "tRNA". Rfam says of the family: Transfer RNA (tRNA) molecules are approximately 80 nucleotides in length. Their secondary structure includes four short double-helical elements and three loops (D, anti-codon, and T loops). The record is from Rfam by way of RNAcentral. Lineage: Eukaryota; Metazoa; Nematoda; Chromadorea; Rhabditida; Toxocaridae.
GCGGCAAUAGCUCAGUGGUAGAGCCCCCGCUUCGCGUGCGGGGAGACCCGGGUUCGAUUCAGGGUUGCCCCC